This is a long non-coding RNA of Thalassophryne amazonica, 152 nucleotides long. RefSeq lists it as uncharacterized. The record is from RefSeq and is a predicted model, not a curated record. Lineage: Eukaryota; Metazoa; Chordata; Actinopteri; Batrachoidiformes; Batrachoididae. The transcript has 3 exons.
GAGGUGGUCAGAAAGCUUCUUGGUGGCAAGGCUCCUGGGUUGUACGAAAUCCGUCCUGAGUACCUUAAGUCUCUGGAUGUUGUGGGACUGUCCUGGUUGACAUGUCUCUGCAAUAUCGCGUGGCAGUCAGGGACAGUGUGUUUGGCGUGGCA